RNAcentral lists this small RNA (564 nucleotides) under Pan troglodytes (chimpanzee). RNAcentral's name for it is "retained intron". Lineage: Eukaryota; Metazoa; Chordata; Mammalia; Primates; Hominidae. The record is from RNAcentral.
GAUUUGCAGAUUUCCUUUGAAAAAUGUAUUGCUGACGUGUUUGAAAUUAAACUUUCUUACAUAAAUCUUCAUUGUUUUAGUUUCUUUUUGGAAGUACUGGAUUUAGCUUAUAAAUUAUAUAAGAAUAUAAAGUAAGUAUAGCAUAUUGUUAGAAUUUUCUUCUUUUCUUUUUCAGGCUCAAACUGCUUUUUCUGCAAACCCUGCCAAUCCAGCAAUUUUGUCAGAAGCUUCUGCUCCUAUCCCUCACGAUGGAAAUCUCUAUCCCAGACUGUAUCCGGAGCUCUCUCAAUACAUGGGGCUGAGUUUAAAUGAAGAAGAAAUACGUGCAAAUGUGGCCGUGGUUUCUGGUGCACCACUUCAGGGGCAGUUGGUAGCAAGACCUUCCAGUAUAAACUAUAUGGUGGCUCCUGUAACUGGUAAUGAUGUUGGAAUUCGUAGAGCAGAAAUUAAGCAAGGGAUUCGUGAAGUCAUUUUGUGUAAGGAUCAAGAUGGAAAAAUUGGACUCAGGCUUAAAUCAAUAGAUAAUGGUAUAUUUGUUCAGCUAGUCCAGGCUAAUUCUCCAGC